This 161-nucleotide non-coding RNA is filed under the name uncultured Oliverpabstia sp. Lineage: Bacteria; Bacillati; Bacillota; Clostridia; Lachnospirales; Lachnospiraceae. The record is from RNAcentral.
GUGGUGAGGUUCCUGUGUUUUCUCCACAGGCUAAGAGAGAAGAGGGGUUAUAUUCCCCCGCGGUCACGCCGCUGUAAAGGAUGAGCGUACUUCAUAAUGUCACUGGGCAACCGGGAAGGCGAAGUAUUGCAUAGACUCCUGAGCCAGAAGACCUGCCCACC